GAUGAAGAACGCAGCGAAAUGCGAUAAGUAAUGUGAAUUGCAGAAUUCAGUGAAUCAUCGAAUCUUUGAACGCACAUUGCGCCCCUUGGUAUUCCGAAGGGCAUGCCUGUUUGAGUAUCAUGAACACCUCAACUCUCAUGGUUUGCCAUGAUGAGCUUGGACUUUGGGGGUCUUGCCGGCCUAUGGGUCGGCUCCUCUCAAAUUAAUCAGCUUGCCAGUGUUUGGUGGCAUCACAGGUGUGAUAACUAUCUACGCUUGUGGUUUUCCAUCAGGUAACCUUCAGUGAUGGAGGUUCGCUGGGGCUCAUAAAUGUCUCUCCUCAGUGAGGACAGCUUUUUUGAACGUUUGAUCUCAAAUCAGGUAGGACUACCCGCUGAACUUAAGCAUAUCAAUAAGCGGAGGA
RNAcentral lists this unclassified non-coding RNA (403 nucleotides) under soil metagenome. RNAcentral describes it as "partial contains 5.8S ribosomal RNA, internal transcribed spacer 2, and large subunit ribosomal RNA". The stretch from base 1 to 120 matches the Rfam family "5.8S ribosomal RNA", at positions 35 to 154 of the family's 154-position model. The record is from RNAcentral.